UACGUAGGUGGCAAGCGUUGUCCGGAUUUACUGGGCGUAAAGAGCGCGCAGGCGGUCGUGCAAGUCGCGUGUGAAAGCCCCCGGCUCAACUGGGGAGGGUCACGCGAUACUGCUCGACUUGAAGGCAGGAGAGGGAAGUGGAAUUCCCGGUGUAGUGGUGAAAUGCGUAGAUAUCGGGAGGAACACCAGUGGCGAAGGCGACUUCCUGGCCUGUUUCUUGACGCUGAGGCGCGAAAGCUAGGGGAGCAAACGGG
This 254-nucleotide ribosomal RNA is filed under the name uncultured bacterium. RNAcentral describes it as "partial 16S ribosomal RNA". It matches the Rfam family "Bacterial small subunit ribosomal RNA", at positions 524 to 776 of the family's 1533-position model. The record is from RNAcentral.